CAGGAAGGAUACACACCGACUUUAGGAUAGCAGUGACCUCUGGUGAGAGAGGGAAACCAGAAGAUUCUGUAAUUGUAGUAAUACACGUCUUUUAAAAAGGAAUUGAAUGUGGUAAAAUGCUGAUAUUUGUUAAAACUGGGUGGUGAUAACUUAUUUUUCAUAUUGUUCUCUGUACUGUAAAGUAUACUUGAAACAUUCAUGAUUUUUAAAUAAUUAAAUAAGGAAAUCUAAAAUUAAUCAGCGGGAACAAUGAAUGUGCUCUGAUAAGGAUAGAAAUCCGGAGUUGGAGGUUAUGGAUGUCAGUUUCAGUUUUACAUUAGUGUCAGAAUCUAUUUCUAUAUUUUGUUAUUGUUUCACAGCAUCGAGUAAUUCUUGAUUCACAGGAACACAGUCCUUGCAAACAAGCUAUGAAGCUAGGAGCCCAGAGCUGACCUCAGCUGUCUCUCUCACCACGCAGAGAAGCCUGCUCACAGUGAGAGAGUACACAGUGAUUCUCAGAGAGAGUUUCCCAAUCUCUCCUGAAUUUCUCAUCUCUUCAUCCAGUAUAUGCAUCUUUUACUGUAGACUCUUCAACAUGUUUAUCAAAGUCAUUUUAAAGUCCUUGUCGGCUAAUUCUGGC
This 619-nucleotide long non-coding RNA is filed under the name Equus asinus (donkey). RNAcentral's name for it is "lncRNA (ENSEASG00005031532.1)". Lineage: Eukaryota; Metazoa; Chordata; Mammalia; Perissodactyla; Equidae. The record is from RNAcentral.